This 3062-nucleotide long non-coding RNA is filed under the name Vigna radiata. Its description in RNAcentral is "long non-coding RNA (VRAD_LNC002419)". Lineage: Eukaryota; Viridiplantae; Streptophyta; Magnoliopsida; Fabales; Fabaceae. The record is from RNAcentral.
UUUCUUCUAGUAUUAUGAGAUUGAUUCAUGCUUAAUUCUGUAAGAAACUAAACUAAUAUAAAACAUUCAUGGUAUGAAAUCAAAAGUAUGAAAGUAAGUAAAGUUAGUGUGAAAUGUAAUGUGAUUUAAGUACAUAUCUAGGUGAGAUCAAAUUAAGUUCUGGAAUGAAUAUAGGUAGCUCAGUCUUGGGGGUUUUCCUCAAUACUCUAAUGACUAUUCAAUCUCACUUAAAGAAGAUUGGUUCAUGUGGUGAGAGUAAUAAGAGGUCCUAGUUUUGGUUGUCUCCAUUUUAUAUGGGCCAAGGCGAGUGAUAACGGACUAACCUUGUGGUGGUAGGGUGGAACCCAUAGCAAUUGGCUUUGCAAAGCAGUAAAGGCCACCAUAAGUGCAUAACCCGCCAUAGCUCAAUAUUCAUUCCGGGUCCGUACGAGUCUAAGUCUAACACCACUUAAUAAAACUCUAAUUUAUAACUUAGUAAAACUGUUCUAUAUAAUAUUGUUUGCUCGACCUUGUAUGCUAGUUUAAUUUUGAUUACUUGUAAUAUUUUAGACAUCUAGCUUACCCUUGCAAUUGUGUGUUUUGUAUGUGUUUGAUUUCUCUUGCAAUGAUCAUUCAAAUUGGAUGUGAGCAGAGGUCCCUCUGGAGCAGAUAUUAGAUAGAGUUGAUGCUGCUGAGGCUCCAGACACUGCAGAGUAGUUUAAACUAGAUAGGAUCCCUUAUGUAUAUAACUUAGUUUCUCUCCUUUUCUUCCUUUUGAAAGACUUUAUAACUAUAUGUAAAACUUUUAAAUUUCCUCACUCUUUUGGAUGACUAUAUUAUAAUAUAGAGUUAAAUAUGUUUUUAGUCCCUAUACUUUGGGACGAUUUUGGUUUCAGUCCCUCUUUCAAACUAAGGUACAAUUUAGUCCUUCAACUUUAGAAAACUCUGGUUUUAGUUCUUUUUACCAAAUUUUUUUAACUUUAUUUGUUGUUUCAAACGCAUUUCUCAGUUAACAUUGAAGCAAAAAUGUGUAAAAUAGUGUAAACAAUCCAAAUGCUAUAAUGAAACGUGCUUGAAAAGUUAAAAAAAUUUGAUAAAAAAAGACUAAAACCGAGUUUUCUAAAAUUGUACCUUAGUUUGAAAGAGGGACUAAAACAAAAAUCACCCCAAAGUAUAGGGACUAAAAACAUGUUUAACCCUAUAAUAUAUAAUUCAUCUGAUAAUUUCUCUUAACCACUUUACUUUAUUAUACAUGUUUGAUUCCAUAUGAUAUAUAUAUAUAUAUAUAUAUAUAUAUAUGUUUCAUUCCAUAUGAUAUAUAUAUAUAUAUUUGGGAUGUUACAAAUUGGAAUUGGUUGGCACAAUUCCAUUUUUUUUCCCAUCAUUAUUUCAAAUUAUAUAUAUUAUUCUAUAUUAUUUAAUUGAUUCUAUACACAAUUCCAUUUGUAAGAUUGAUGUUCAUUUUAAAAAUCUCUAUAUUAUCGAGUUCUUAGUUUUUAUAUUAUAAAAUCAUUUCAAAAUCUAGUCUUUUUGAUAAAUUUUUUUUACUUAAAAAUUCCCAGGGGUACAUCAGUGCAUCAUUAUAUUUUUGUUUGCUUUGGAAGUCUUCAUUUCAUAUACACAUAUCAUCUAUUUGAUUGAACAUAAAGAACAAUUGAAAUAAAAAACAUGUUUUCUACUCUUAUCUUUAAUAUUUUUUUCAUAUAUUUAUUUGAUUGAACAUAACCCUAAAAGUUGCAUUUAUUACUUUAGGUAACUGUUUAAACUCAUUAUUUAUUUGAUUGAACAUAACCCUAAAAGUUGUCCCUUUAAAACUUAUUAAAUCAUUUAUUUGUGACUCUAUUUAAGACAUUUUUUUGUAAUACACAAACUGUAUUGUAUAUAUUUAUGACUUGAAUUAAGCUAUAAAUAAACUAUAGAUUCAGCUCUUGUCAAGAGAAAUUAAAAAUAAAAAAGGCCUUAAAAACAAUACUUAAUUUUAUCUAAAUUAAAUCAGUAAAUAACGUAUAGUCAACAUAAUUUUUUUUAAGUCAACUCAACUUUUACAAAAUAUGAAAAAUACACCUAUCCCACCAAAUAGUCUUUUAGGUUUUAAAAAUGGAUAAUAAAAAUAAUGAAAAUUACUAAAUAAAAGUAAUAUCUUCAGUACAAACAUUUAUAAACAAUAACAAAUCAACCAUAAAUCAUAACAGACAUUUACAAAAAUACAAAAAAUAAAUCCAAUUUCUUCUGACUCCAUUCACUACACACUUUACCAGCAAAAUUUAACAAUUUUUAAAAUAAACAAACUAAGUAGUAAAUCCUAAUCUGCUUGUUUCCAAAUCAAAUAUUGAAACCUAGAAAAAAAGAACACAAAACUGACCAAAAUUACGUUAUGUAAGAAUAACUUGAAUCACAACUUCACUAAGAAAUAUUAUGCGUGUAGGCAAGUCAGGUAUAUGAAUGGAUUGCCUCAAGAUUUUGAAUUCAGGAAGGAAAUUUCCUUUCAUACAUCUAAUUGAAUCAUCAUUCUUGCCUUUCUUUCCUUAAAAUAGAUAAACAAAUAAAUAAACAGCACAGAAUAAUAAACAACUCUAAAGCUAAUAAAAAACAAUUUGUUCAAAUGUUUCCCACCAGAUACAGAGGCACUGAUACAUGACCCAACCAAAGGAGAUGAAGUCCAAUUAGUCGAAUCUAAAGAAGGCAAAGUGAGAAAAAUAAUCACACUUGCCAUAGAAAUCAACAAAAAUGGAGAUUCAAACUCCAGUGGAAUACAGAGGGUUCAAUGAAUCUUGAUAAGAAGAGAAAGGUGGAAAAAAGAGGACUCAAAAGGAAACCCUAAAGAGAAACCUCAAAGCGUGUUGAUAUGGCGCUGCUAUGACUCGACACGCUUCCAUGGAGAAAUUGGGAAGGCGAUCUUAAGGGCAGCGCGCUUAUAGCAAACAGAUUCAAUAACCAAUUAUAACAUUACGAAAACGAAAAUGCAGUCUGAAAAGAGAGAAAGAAGGCAAAACCCUAGUGGCUGGAGAACGAAACGAGGGUAUAUAUAGUCUCAUGGAUAUUCUGGAAGACAAGAUUACCCUUAUUGGGCUUUUCUAUAUCAU